UUCUUCGGGGCAGGGUGAUAUUCCAAGGAAUAGAUUCCCGACCGACGGUGAUUGAGCAAUCAAAAGUCCGUGAACUGUCUGCGAGAUAUAGACAGCCGAUUCGGUGCAAAUCCGAAACCGACAGUAUAGUCUGGAUGAGAGAAGAUG
RNAcentral lists this non-coding RNA (147 nucleotides) under uncultured Agathobacter sp. RNAcentral's name for it is "FMN riboswitch (RFN element)". It matches the Rfam family "FMN riboswitch aptamer (RFN element)". From Rfam's summary of the family: The RFN element is a highly conserved domain that is found frequently in the 5'-untranslated regions of prokaryotic mRNAs that encode for flavin mononucleotide (FMN) biosynthesis and transport proteins. This element is a metabolite-dependent riboswitch that directly binds FMN in the absence of proteins. The record is from RNAcentral. Lineage: Bacteria; Bacillati; Bacillota; Clostridia; Lachnospirales; Lachnospiraceae.